UACGUAGGGGGCAAGCGUUGUCCGGAUUUACUGGGCGUAAAGAGCGCGCAGGCGGCUUGGCAAGUCGGGUGUGAAAUCCCGGGGCUCAACCCCGGGACUGCAUUCGAUACUGUCAGGCUAGAGGUAGGUAGGGGAGAUCGGAAUUCCUGGUGUAGCGGUGAAAUGCGUAGAUAUCUGGAGGAACAUCGGUGGCGAAGGCGGCAUCCUGGACCGGUAUUGACGCUGAGGCGCGAAAGCCAGGGGAGCAAACGGG
Molecule: ribosomal RNA, 253 nt
Filed under: uncultured bacterium
Lineage: Bacteria
Description: partial 16S ribosomal RNA
Rfam family: Bacterial small subunit ribosomal RNA
Source: RNAcentral